RNAcentral lists this unclassified non-coding RNA (329 nucleotides) under soil metagenome. RNAcentral's name for it is "partial contains 5.8S ribosomal RNA, internal transcribed spacer 2, and large subunit ribosomal RNA". The stretch from base 1 to 120 matches the Rfam family "5.8S ribosomal RNA", at positions 35 to 154 of the family's 154-position model. The record is from RNAcentral.
GAUGAAGAACGUAGCGAAAUGCGAUAAGUAAUGUGAAUUGCAGAAUUCAGUGAAUCAUCGAAUCUUUGAACGCACAUUGCGCCCCUUGGUAUUCCGAGGGGCAUGCCUGUUCGAGCGUCAUUAUAACCCCUCAAGCUCAGCUUGGUGUUGGGGCCUGCUGCACUGGCAGCCCUUAAAAUCAGUGGCGGCGCCAUCUGGCUCUAAGCGUAGUAAUUCUUCUCGCUAUGGAGUCCUGGUGGAUGCUUGCCAUCAACCCCCAAUUUUUGUAUGGUUGACCUCGGAUCAGGUAGGGAUACCCGCUGAACUUAAGCAUAUCAAUAAGCGGAGGA